This 3036-nucleotide long non-coding RNA is filed under the name Mytilus galloprovincialis (Mediterranean mussel). The record is from RNAcentral. Lineage: Eukaryota; Metazoa; Mollusca; Bivalvia; Mytilida; Mytilidae.
GAAACCGUAAGUCGUAGACACCUAGGAUCUUCACCAAUCAUCAUCAAUUCAUGUAUCUUUGAAAAAUACCUCAAGGUCAAAUUUGUAUGUUGACCUUGACCUUUGACCUAACACCUUGUUAUGGGAUAAUCUCAGAAACCAUUAUACUUACAGAAAUUUUAAAUAGUGGAAAAUGUUUGGGUCAUUACGGCGCAACUUUGUUACAUUUUGACAGCAGAGAUUUGACCUUUUUUUAAGGGGCAUAAAGCCUCUUUUACGUUUCUGAAAAGACAAAAUCAGCUUUUACUACAUAACCGAAGGUCCUAGACCCAUGGGGUCUUCAGCAAUGACAUUGGGGACUAAUGACCUUGACAAAGGUCAAAAGGUCAAAGGUCAAGGUCAUGUCCAAGAUAGCGAAUUUAGUGUUUUUAACCUUAUUUAAAGGAUUUUCAGUGUGUUUUAAAGCUUUUCAAUACAUUCUACGUCUAUUUGAACAUGUAUUUUACAUUGCGAAAGGAAAGACCUCUCAAUUGUUCAAGAACAAUUGACAGUUUAAUUAUUAUUAUUUUUUUUUUUUCUUCCGCCAACUUUUUUUCCUUCGCUGUUUUUUUGUUUCACAAGAUGUCGCUUAGAUAUAUGGUAUAUGAUAUCGAACAGUUAAUACGCUUCUGAAACUGACACCGCGUAACAAAAAACUUUACCUUGUAAGAGUUAUCUCCCCGAACACUGUUUUUCUUGUUAUCUCUAAGGCUUCGCAACCGUAUAAGAAACCGACAAAUUUAUUUUUCCAAAUUGCUCGUUAUAUCCUCAGGAUGUUCUGUUUUAUUUUGACCGAAGCUAUCCGGAGACUCCAUAUGAGAGUUAUCCCCCUUUUAUAUAUGAUAUAAGUGAUAUGCAUUUCUAACUGGUAAACCAUAAGUGAUAGAGACCUAGGGUCUUUUGAUUUAAGAUCCUUGGUCCAAAAAAAUGAAAAUUAGGUCAAGGUCAAAGGUCAAGGUCAAAUUCUAAAUUUUGAUUUUGGCUUAUUUUCACUUAUUUUCAUUAACCUUAUAAGAUAUCGACAAAUUAUUUUUACUAAAUUGUUAGUUGCGACAUGUCGUAACUUAUAAAUUUUGGUUGCAAGGGUGCGUAGACAAUAAAUGGGAGUUUUUCGCCCCUCUUAUAUUUAGAAUUAUGCGUAAAGUGAUAUUACUCAUGAACCAUACAUAUUAAGGAACUAGUGUCUUUUGAUUUGAGAUGUUUAGUCUAUGACCUUGAAAUUGAGGUCAAGGUCAUAGGUUAAUUGGACGUUCUAGAUUUUGACCUUUGCUUUAAAUUCAUAUUUAUACAUCAUAAAGCCAUAGGAACUGACAUUUUCAACUGAAUUUUAAUAUUUUCAUAUCAAAAUAGAUCUUUAUUAGUUGAAAGACCUUCAAUUGUUCUCUGAACAAUUGGUUUUUAAUUAUUAUUUUCCAUUUCCGUGGAAAGACCUAUUGGAUUUCUUCUGAUUAUUAUUAUUUUUUUUUUUUUUUUCUUCCGCCUAAUUUUUUUCCUUCGCUGUUUUUUUGUUUCGCAAGAUGUCGCUUAGAUUUUUGGAAUAUGAUAUCGAACAGUUUAUACGCUUUUGAAACCAACUCUGCUUAACCAAAUACUUUCCCAAAUAAGAGUUAUCUCCCCAAACACUGUUUUUCUUGUUAUCUCUAAGGCUUCGCAACCGUAUAAGAAACCGACAAAUUUAUUUUUCCAAAUUGCUCGUUAUAUCCUUCAGGAUGUUCUGUUUUAUUUUGACCGAAGCCGUAUCCGAUAGAUUCCAUAUGAGAGUUAUUCCCCCCUUUUAUGUUUUGAUAUAAGAAUAUGCAUUUCUAACUGGUAAACCAUAAGUGAUAGAGACCUAGGGUCUUUUGAUUUAAGAUCCUUGGUCCAAAAAAAUGAAAAUUAGGUCAAGGUCAAAGGUCAAGGUCAUAUUCUAAAUUUUGAUUUUGGCUUAUUUUCACUUAUUUUCAUUAACCUUAUAAGAUAUCGACAAAUUAUUUUUACUAAAUUGUUAGUUGCGACAUGUCGUAACUUAUAAAUUUUGGUUGAAAGGGUGCGUAGACAAUAAAUGGGAGUUUUUGCCCCUCUUAUAUUUUAGAAUUAUGCGUAAAGUGAUAUUACUCAUGAACCAUACAUAUUAAGGAACUAGUGUCUUUUGAUUUGAGAUCCUUAGUCUAUGACCUUGAAAUUGAGGUCAAGGUCAUAGGUUAAUUGGACGUUCUAGAUUUUGACCUUUGCUUUAAAUUCAUAUUUAUACAUCAUAAAGCAUAGGAACUGACAUUUUCAACUGAAUUUUUAAUAUUUUCAUAUCAAAAUAGAUUUAAGUGGUGGAAAGACCUUCAAUUGUUCUCUGAACAAUUGGUUUUUAAUUAUUAUUAUUUUUUUUUUUUUUUUCUUCCGCCUAAUUUUUUUUCCUUCGCUGUUUUUUUUGUUUCGCAAGAUGUCGCUUAGAUAUUUGGAAUAUGAUAUCGAACAGUUUAUACGCUUUUGAAACCAAACUCUGCUUAACCGAAUACUUUCCAAAAAAGAGUUAUCUCCCCGAACACUGUUUUUCUUGUUAUCUCUAAGGCUUCGCAACCGUAUAAGAAACCGACAAAUUUAUUUUUCCAAAUUGCUCGUUAUAUCCUCAGGAUGUUCUGUUUUAUUUUGACCGAAGCCGUAUAUAGAUUCCAUAUGAGAGUUAUCCCCCUUUUAUGUUUGAUAUAAGUGAUAUGCAUUUCUAACUGGUAAACCAUAAGUGAUAGAGACCUAGGGUCUUUUGAUUUGAGAUCCUUGGUCCAAAAAAAUGAAAAUAAGGUCAAGGUCAAAGGUCAAGGUCAUAUUAUAAAUUUUGAUUUUGGCUUAUUUUCACUUAUUUUCAAAAGCCGUAUAACUUAUCGACAAAUUAUUUUUACUAAAUUGUUAGUUGCGACAUGUCGUAACUUAUAAAUUUUGGUUGAAAGGGUGCGUAGACAAUAAAUGGGAGUUUUCGCCCCUCUUAUAUUUAGAAUUAUGCGUAAAGUGAUAUAACUCAUAAACCAUACAUAUUAAGGAACUAGUGUCUUU